This 1427-nucleotide long non-coding RNA is filed under the name Citrus sinensis (sweet orange). RNAcentral's name for it is "long non-coding RNA (CSIN_LNC001110)". The record is from RNAcentral. Lineage: Eukaryota; Viridiplantae; Streptophyta; Magnoliopsida; Sapindales; Rutaceae.
AUGCGUGAGCCAAUAAAGCAUUAACAAGAAUUUUUUUUUCUCUCUCACCUCUCUUUUAGCUGGAAUAGAACCCACAAACUCACUCACGCACGCACUCUUACUUCCCUUUUGACAAACCACAGAAUCACACCCACAAUCAACAAUCACCCACGCACUCUUACUUUCCGUUUGACAAACCACAUACGACGGACGAGCCCACAGACGACGGACCACCACCAUCACGUGAUCGAGGGAGUAGAACUCACGCGGUGGUGCGUUGGAGCCGCGGUUCUUUCGAGCUAAAAGGUCGGCGUUCCUGUUGGUUUUCGUCGGCGAGGAUGGUAGGGAAACGACGGUCGGCUUCCAAGCUUCAGAUCAAUACCUUGAUCGGUCGGUGGAGUUGCCGGGAUCGUGAAAUCCAACCGGGUCACGUUCGUGGGUCGGGUCGGGUUCACGGUUUUGAGCUAAAUCGACGGCGUUCUUGUUGGUUUUCGGCGGCAAGGAUGGCAGGGAAACGAGGGCCGGCUUCCAAGCUUCAGAUCAAUACCUUGAUCGGUCGGUGGAGUUGCCGGGAUCGUGAAAUCCAACCGGGUCACGUUCGUGGGUCGGGUCGGGUUCACGGUUUUGAGCUAAAUCGACGGCGUUCUUGUUGGUUUUCGGCGGCAAGGAUGGCAGGGAAACGAGGGCCGGCUUCCAAGCUUCAGAUCAAUACCUUGAUCGGUCGGUGGAGUUGCCGGGAUCGUGAAAUCCAACCGGGUCACGUUCGUGGGUCGGGUCGGGUUCACGGUUUUGAGCUAAAUCGACGGCGUUCUUGUUGGUUUUCGGCGGCAAGGAUGGCAGGGAAACGAGGGCCGGCUUCCAAGCUUCAGAUCAAUACCUUGAUCGGUCGGUGGAGUUGCCGGGAUCGUGAAAUCCAACCGGGUCACGUUCGUGGGUCGGGUCGGGUUCACGGUUUUGAGCUAAAUCGACGGCGUUCUUGUUGGUUUUCGGCGGCAAGGAUGGCAGGGAAACGAGGGCCGGCUUCCAAGCUUCAGAUCAAUACCUUGAUUGGCCGGUAGAGUGGCCGAUGGUGAAAUCCAACCGGGUCACGUUCGCGGGUCGGGUUCGUGGGUCAAAUUGGGUCAACCUCCCUCCCUUCUCAUCUCCUCAUCCACUCACAAAGCACCACACCACGGCUCCCCUUAGCCAGGUUGUUGCUGCUGGAAUUUUUUUUGCUGGAAGUGUUACUGGAAUUUUUUUUGCUGAAGGUGUUACUGGUGCUGGAGUUGUUGCUGCUGGAAUUUUUUUUUUUUUGUGUUUGUGUGUUUUUGUUUGUCUUUGUUUCUAUUCCUGUCUCAACUACAAGCUUCUAUAAUAAGUGUUUGGCCUCGACACAAAAUCAAUGUUUGUAAUAGAGAUAAUCAAUAAAAGUCAGUUCAGUUUUCCAAUUUUGUCAGUUUGGCCUGGGC